CUACAAUGGGCGGUACAAAGGGUCGCGAACCCGCAAGGGGGAGCCAAUCCCAAAAAGCCGCUCUCAGUUCGGAUGUCGAGGCUGCAACUCGCCUGCAUGAAGCCGGAAUCGCUAGUAAUCGCGGAUCAGCAUGCCGCGGUGAAUACGUUCCCGGGCCUU
Molecule: ribosomal RNA, 159 nt
Filed under: uncultured Anoxybacillus sp.
Lineage: Bacteria; Bacillati; Bacillota; Bacilli; Caryophanales; Anoxybacillaceae
Description: partial 16S ribosomal RNA
Rfam family: Bacterial small subunit ribosomal RNA
Source: RNAcentral